UACAGAGGUCUCAAGCGUUGUUCGGAUUCAUUGGGCGUAAAGGGUGCGUAGGUGGCGCGCUAAGUCAGGUGUGAAAUCUCGGGGCUUAACUCCGAAACUGCAUUUGAUACUGGCGUGCUUGAGGACUGGAGAGGAGAGUGGAAUUCCUGGUGUAGCGGUGGAAUGCGCAGAUAUCAGGAAGAACACCCGUGGCGAAGGCGGCUCUCUGGAACGCAACUGACGCUGAGACGCGAAAGCGUGGGGAGCAAACAGG
RNAcentral lists this ribosomal RNA (253 nucleotides) under uncultured bacterium. Its description in RNAcentral is "partial 16S ribosomal RNA". It matches the Rfam family "Bacterial small subunit ribosomal RNA", at positions 524 to 776 of the family's 1533-position model. The record is from RNAcentral.